CCCUAUGGGGCGCAAAGAAAGAUCGACGACGUUGAGCUUUCUCGCUAUGCCUGUUAUUUGAUUGUUCAAAAUGCCGACCCUUCUAAGCCCAUUGUUGCUCUUGGACAGACUUAUUUUGCGGUCCAGACCCGAAAGCAAGAGCUCAAGGAAGAGGCGGAUUAUCAAAAUCUCAAGACCGAAGAUGAACGGCGUUUAUUCUUGCGGCAGCAGCUAAAGGUUCAGAACAAACAGUUGGCGAGCGCGGCUAAAAAUGCCGGGGUUCUUGUGCCGCUUGAUUAUGCCAUCUUUCAGGAUCAUGGUUACAAAGGACUUUACGGCGGACUAGCCUCGUUUGAUAUUCACCGGCGAAAAAAUUUAAAAAAAGGCCAGCAGAUUUUGGAUCACAUGGGCAGCACGGAAUUGGCGGGAGGGC
RNAcentral lists this ribosomal RNA (412 nucleotides) under uncultured prokaryote. RNAcentral's name for it is "partial 16S ribosomal RNA". The record is from RNAcentral.